GCCAUCUGAAUCUAAUUAUAGCUCGUGAAGGCAUCCAUAAAGCUCAAAAGUCGAUAUCCUGAAGUUGCAUCAAUUAGUUGGUCGAUCUUUGGUAAAGAGAAACUAUCUUUCGGACAAACUUCGUUUAAAUUUAUGUAGUCGAUACAGAUUCUCUAUUUCUUAUUGAUUUUUUUCAUCAUUACUACAUUGACGAGCCAAUCGAGAUAUAUAAUUACCUUUUCUGAUGAAGCCAGCCGCGAGGAGUU
This 245-nucleotide long non-coding RNA is filed under the name Elaeis guineensis (African oil palm). RNAcentral's name for it is "long non-coding RNA (EGUI_LNC032084)". Lineage: Eukaryota; Viridiplantae; Streptophyta; Magnoliopsida; Arecales; Arecaceae. The record is from RNAcentral.